UUAUAAUUUUCCAUGAUGCAAUUAAAUUUUAAUACACUCGUAUUUCAUUUAUUCAAUCAACAAAAAUUAAUUUAGUGCCUAUGAUGAACCAAGUGUGCCCUCAUAUGCUCAUGUGCCUUACACUCUAUAAGCUUCACAAGAGUGAGAUGGAGCCAUUGGAGUGUUUUAUGUGAAGAAAUAACACACUCUGUGACAGAGCAGGAGCAUCACCAUCUCUGAUAAAUCCCUUGUUCUAAAGUUACCUUAAUAAAAAAAUGCCUAAAUCCAAAGGGCAUCAGCCUAAUGUCUAAAGUCAGCACGGCCAUAAACCACAAAUAACAUCUCCAACCAGAAACAUUCCAAACUCCUCCCUGACCAGAGACAUGCUAGCUUCGAGAUAACGCCCCUCCGGCCGGGAAGAUGUCUGCCCCAAGAUAAACUCACCUCCUCCCAGAAACAUUCCAACCCUGCCAUAAAACUUCUCCCUCACACAGGAAGAUUUCAAGCUUGUAAUAAACGCCUCACCCUAAAACCAAUAUAUAUUCUUAGUCUGUAAAAGAAAGUGCUCCUGACCAAAAUUGGUCAGAAGACCCUGUCAUGUUUUAUCUAAAGUAAACCUGUCUUUAACUGCCAAGCCAUGUUUCAUGUUUCUUUCCUCUUUCUUUAACUCUUACACUCUAACUCACAGUAGCAGGACCACUGUGGAGAGAACAGUCAUGUAGCAGGUAAUGGGACAGUGCUAGAGGUGCUAUUCAGGAGUGACAGAGUGGUGGGGACUAAAGGGAGAGGAGGAAUCCUGAGGAAUGAGAGGGAUGGAGGGAAAGACUGGAGAAGCAGGAGGUGAGGAAAAGGAGCAGAGGGAAAAAAUUCAAAAGCAGCAGAAUUCUUAGGUUUAAACACAUUGUUUAAUAGAUUUUUAAUACAUUCAUCCACAGAGACUCGAAGGGUGUUUUUUUUUUUUUGCAUUUGGUCUUUAAUACCUUAUGUGGGACUGCCUAAAAACUAAUUGCUUUUUAAUCAGGUUUAAAAAAAUACUAAGUGUUCCUAUGAAAUAUGCACACCACUUAGAUGUGGUUACUUUCUAAAAACAGGCAGUGCCUGAGCACUGAUGAGGGGCAUUGUGAUUGCAUUCAGUGCUUGCAACUGUGAGGUGAAUGAAUGUACUAGCUUCUGGUUGCAACAUACAGUAACACAUUGUGCUACUUUGUAUUGACGAGAUGUCCUGGACUCACACGGAAACUCAGGGCUAUGAAAUGAAGGUAAUUUUAAAAUACAAGCCAGAGUCACAGAUAUAUAGUCUGAAAGAGGAAAACUUAGGAGCCUUGUGUGUCCAGUUGUAAUGACAAAGUCACAUUUUUUACAGAUUAGCUUCCUGAUAAUUCAGGGGUUACCAAGAUUCUGCUACUCACUGUAGCUAUUAAACAAAAUGGAAACUGGUCUCUAAUCUCAUGGGCUCAGGCACAAUUUUUUCAGAUUUAAACAAAAAACAACCUCUGUCUUUGCACCUCCAUUCCCAGGACAAGCUCACUCUCUGGAACCAAGCUCCCUGGGGUCCUUUUUCCCGGAUACUGAUGACACGGCGCCAGUGCUCACUCCCAUUGGGUGUCGGGUUUCGAGAGCAGCCAAUCAGCGUCGCCACGGUUCCCGGUUUUAAAGAUCCCGCGGACACACCCCGACUCAGAGUCUCCACAGACGCCAAGGAUGGGAUCUUGGCGCCCCGAACCCUCCUCCUGCUGCUCUCGGGGGCGCUGGCCCUGACCGAGACCUGGGCAGGCUCCCACUCCAUGAGGUAUUUCGGCACCUCAGUGUCCCGGCCCGGCCGCGGGGAGCCCCACUUCAUCUACGUGGCCUACGUGGACGACACGCAGUUCCUGCGAUUCGACAGCGACGCGGCGAUUCCGAGGAUGGAGCCGCUGCGCCGUGGGUGGAGCCGGAGUAUUGGGAGCGGGAGACACGAGGCGCCAAGACCCACGCAGAGAAUUUCCAAGUGAACCUGCGGACCCUGCUCCGCCACUACAACCAGAGCGAGGCCGGGCCUCACACCUUCCAGGAGUUGUACGGCUGCGACCUGGGGCCAGAUGGGCGCUUCCUCCGUGGGUACGACCAGUUCGCCUACGAUGGCAAGGAUUACCUCGCCCUGAACGAGGACCUGCGCUCCUGGACCGCAGGGGACACCACGGCUCAGAUCUCCCGGCGCAAGUGGGAGGUGACCCGUGAGGCGGAGAGGGUGAGAGCCUACCUGGAGGACAGGUGCCUGGAGUGGCUCCGCAGAUACCUGGAGAACAGGAAGGAGACGCUGCAGCGCGCAGAUCCCCCAAAGACACAUAUGACCCACCACCCCGUCUCUGACCAUGAGGCCACCCUGAGGUGCUGGGCCCUGGGCUUCCACCCUGUGGAGAUCACACUGACCUGGCAGCAGGAUGGGGAGGACCAAACUCAGGACACGGAGCUUGUGGAGACCAGGCCCGCAGGGGAUGGAACCUUCCAGAAGUGGGGAGCUGUGGUGGUGCCUUCUGGAGAGGAGCAGAGAUACAUGUGCCAUGUGCAGCAUGAGGGAUUGCUGGAGCCCCUCACCCCGAGAUGGGAGCAGUCUUCCCAGCCCACCAUCCUCAUCGCAGCCAUUGUUGCUGGCCUGAUUGUCCUUGGAGCUGUGGUCACUGCUGUGAUGUGGAGGAAGAAAAGCUCAGGUGGAAAAGGAGGGAGCUACUCUCAGGCUGCGUGUAAGUUGGGGACUGGGAUGUGGAGGAGCUCACCCACCCCCUAAUUCCUCCUGUCCCACGUCUCCUGGGGGCUCUGACCAGCUGCUGUUUUUGUUCUACCCCAGGGAGCAAUGGUGCCCAGGGCUCUGAUGUGUCUCGCUGGGAUUGUAAAGCCUGAGACAGCUGCUUUUUGUGGUACUAAGAUGAUGGGAUUUCCUCAUGCCUCCCCUUUGUGACUUUGUCUGUGUCCCUGUCAGCAUAAUGUGAGGAGGUGGAGAGACAGCCCACCCCCGUGUCCACCGUGACCCCUGUUCCCACGCUGACCUGUGUUCCCUCCCCAGUCAUCUUUCCUGUUCCAGAGAGGUGGGACUGGAUGUCUCCAUCUCAGUCUCAACUUCAUGCUGCAUUGAGCUGCAACCUCUUACUUCCCUACUGAAAAUAAGAAUCUGAAUAGAAAUUUGUUUUCUCAAUAUUUGCCAUGAGAAGUUGAUGGGUUAAUUAAAUAAGUCAAUUCCUAAAAUUUGAGAGAGGAAAUAAAGACCUGAGAACCUUCCAGAAUCCA
Macaca mulatta (Rhesus monkey) is the source of this 3240-nucleotide non-coding RNA. NCBI's taxonomy places the organism in Eukaryota, Metazoa, Chordata, Mammalia, Primates, Cercopithecidae. The record is from RefSeq and is a predicted model, not a curated record.